AGACGGAACCCGCACAAGCGGUGGAGUAUGUUGUUUAAUUCGAAGAUACACGAAGAACCUUACCAGGUCUUGACAUACCAUUGACAGGUCUAGAGAUAGACCCUCCUUCGGGCAAUGGAUACAGGUGGUGCAUGGUUGUCGUCAGCUCGUGCCGUGAGGUGUUGGGUUAAGUCCCGCAACGAGCGCAACCCUCAUUGUUAGUUACUACCAUUCAGUUGAGGACUCUAAUGAGACUGCCAACGACAAGUUGGAGGAAGGUGGGAUGACGUCAAAUCAUCAUGCCCUUUAUGACCUGGGCUACAAACGUACUACAAUGGCCAAUACAAAGAGAUGCGAAGCGGUGACGUGGAGCGAACCUCAGAAAGUUGGUCUCAGUUCAGAUUGUAGUCUGCAACUCGACUGCAUGAAGUCGGAAUCGCUAGUAAUCGCGGAUCAGCAUGUCGCGGUGAAUACGUUCCCGGGCCUU
Molecule: ribosomal RNA, 466 nt
Filed under: uncultured Mollicutes bacterium
Lineage: Bacteria; Bacillati; Mycoplasmatota; Mollicutes
Description: bacterial SSU rRNA
Rfam family: Bacterial small subunit ribosomal RNA
Source: RNAcentral